This 345-nucleotide ribosomal RNA is filed under the name uncultured archaeon. RNAcentral's name for it is "bacterial SSU rRNA". It matches the Rfam family "Archaeal small subunit ribosomal RNA", at positions 691 to 1036 of the family's 1478-position model. The record is from RNAcentral.
CCGACGGUGAGAGACGAAAGCUAGGGGCACGAACCGGAUUAGAUACCCGGGUAGUCCUAGCCGUAAACGAUACUCGCUAGGUGUCGGCCACGGUGCGACCGUUGUCGGUGCCGUAGGGAAGCCGUGAAGCGAGCCACCUGGGAAGUACGGCCGCAAGGCUGAAACUUAAAGGAAUUGGCGGGGAGCACCACAACGGGUGGAGCUUGCGGUUUAAUUGGAUUCAACGCCGGAAAUCUUACCGGGACCGACAGCAACAUGAAGGCCAGGCUGAAGACUUUGCCGGAUUAGCUGAGAGGUGGUGCAUGGCCGUCGUCAGUUCGUACUGUGAAGCAUCCUGUUAAGUCA